Molecule: ribosomal RNA, 522 nt
Filed under: uncultured bacterium
Lineage: Bacteria
Description: bacterial SSU rRNA
Rfam family: Bacterial small subunit ribosomal RNA
Source: RNAcentral
AUGCAAGUCGAACGGUAACAGGAAUUAGCUUGCUAAUUUGCUGACGAGUGGCGCACGGGUGCGUAACGCGCAUGCAAUCUACCUUGUACUGGAGUAUAGCCCACGGAAACUUGGAUUAAUCCUCCAUAGUGUAAUUGAGUGGCAUCGCUUAAUUAUUAAAGGUUACGGUACAAGAUGAGCAUGCGUCCCAUUAGCUAGUUGGUAUGGUAACGGCAUACCAAGGCAACGAUGGGUAGGGGUCCUGAGAGGGAGAUCCCCCACACUGGUACUGAGACACGGACCAGACUCCUACGGGAGGCAGCAGUGAGGAAUAUUGGACAAUGGUCGAAAGACUGAUCCAGCCAUGCCGCGUGCAGGAAGACUGCCCUAUGGGUUGUAAACUGCUUUUUUACGGGAAGAAUAAGGGUCACGUGUGAUCUGAUGACGGUACCGUAGGAAUAAGCACCGGCUAACUCCGUGCCAGCAGCCGCGGUAAUACGGAGGGUGCAAGCGUUAUCCGGAAUCAUUGGGUUUAAAGGGUCC